Molecule: ribosomal RNA, 497 nt
Filed under: uncultured bacterium
Lineage: Bacteria
Description: partial 16S ribosomal RNA
Rfam family: Bacterial small subunit ribosomal RNA
Source: RNAcentral
GAUGAACGCUGGCGGCGUGCCUAAUACAUGCAAGUCGAGCGAACAGACGAGGAGCUUGCUCCUCUGACGUUAGCGGCGGACGGGUGAGUAACACGUGGAUAACCUACCUAUAAGACUGGGAUAACUUCGGGAAACCGGAGCUAAUCCCGGAUAAUAUAUUGAACCGCAUGGUUCAAUAGUGAAAGACGGUUUUGCGGUCACUUAUAGAUGCAUCCGCGCCGUAUUAGCUAGUUGGUAAGGUAACGGCUUACCAAGGCAACUAUGCGUAGCCGACGGGAGAGGGGGGUCGGCCGCACUGGAACUUAGACGCGGUCCAGACGCCUACGGGAGGGCGCAGUAGGGAAUGUUCCGCAAUAGGCGGGAGUCUGACGGAGCGACGCGGCGUGAGUGAUGGCGGUCUUCGGAUCGUAAAGCUCGGUUAUUAGGGGAGAACCAAUUUGUAAGGAACUAUGCCCGGCUUGACGGUAACUGAUCAGAAAGCCCCGGCUAACUACGUG